AUGCAGCAAGCGAUGCCCAUGCCGCCGGCGGCGGCGGCGCCGGGGAUGCCUCCAUCUGCUGGCCUCAGCACCGAGCAGAUCCAAAAGUACCUGGAUGAAAAUAAGCAACUAAUUUUGGCUAUCUUGGAAAAUCAGAACCUGGGAAAGUUGGCGGAAUGUGCUCAGUAUCAAGCUCAGCUUCAGAAGAAUCUUUUGUAUUUGGCUGCAAUUGCUGAUACUCAGCCACAGACCUCUGUAAGCCGUCCUCAGAUGGCACCACCUAGUGCAUCCCCAGGGGUAGGGCAUUACAUGUCACAGGUGCCAAUGUUCCCUCCAAGGACCCCUCUAACGCCUCAGCAGAUGCAGGAGCAGCAACUACAGCAACAACAGGCUCAGAUGCUUCCGUUUGCUGGUCAAAUGGUUGCGAGACCUGGGGCUGUGAAUGGCAUGGCCCGGGCCCCUCAAGUUGAACCAGCCUAUGCAGCAGGUGGGGCCAGUUCCGAGCCUUCUGGCACUGAGAGCCAUAGGAGCACUGGUGCCGAUAACAACGGUGGAAGCGGCUUGGCUGACCAGUCCUAA
Molecule: ribosomal RNA, 558 nt
Filed under: Triticum aestivum (bread wheat)
Lineage: Eukaryota; Viridiplantae; Streptophyta; Magnoliopsida; Poales; Poaceae
Description: partial small subunit ribosomal RNA
Source: RNAcentral